GUGACAGAAUUCAGAGAUCAGAAGGCAUCUGGGCUCAUCUAAGCACUUUUCUGCCUGCUCAGGGAAGAUCUUCCAGAAAGGAGCCUGUACUUUCCACUAUCCAGCCAUGCUCCUGCUGCUCACCCCAGUCCUUCAGAUGCUUUUUGCCUUGAGAGAUGCCAGAGCCCAGACAGUGAGCCAGCCCCAGGUCCACAUCUCCAUCUCUGAAGAAGCCUCCCUGGAGCUGAAAUGCAACUACUCCUAUAGUGGAUUUCCUUCUCUCUUCUGGUACAUCCAAUACCCCAGCCAAGGCCUCCAGCUUCUCCUGAAGUAUGUAUCAGGAGACAACAAGGUUAAAGGCAUUAAAGGCUUUGAGGCUGAAUUUCAGAAGAGUGAAUCUUCCUUCAACUUGAGGAAACACUUGGUCCAUUGGAGCGACUCAGCUGUGUACUUCUGUGCUCUGGGUGACACAGUGUCUGGGACUCCAGGGGCAGCUCAACACAAACCACUAUCAUAG
Non-coding RNA from Choloepus didactylus (southern two-toed sloth), 496 nucleotides. NCBI's taxonomy places the organism in Eukaryota, Metazoa, Chordata, Mammalia, Pilosa, Megalonychidae. The record is from the annotation of a RefSeq genome assembly.